GAUGAACGCUGGCGGCGUGCCUAAUACAUGCAAGUCGAGCGAACGGACUAGUAUCUUGCUUCUCUGAUGUUUACGGCGUACGGAUGGGUGACCCGUGGAUUACCUCCCUAUUAGCCUGCGUUAUAUUCGGGAAACACAAGCUAAUACCGUUUAAUAUUUUGCACCGCAUGAUUCAACCGUGAAAUACGGUCUUGCUGUCACUGAUAGAUGAAUCCGCGCUGCAUUAGCUAGUUGGGAAGGUCACGGCAUACCAAGGCAACGAUGCAUAUCCGAACGGAGAGGGUGAUCGGCCACACUGGAAGUGAGACACGGUCCAGACUCCUACGCGAGGCAGCAGUAGGGAAUCUUCCGCGAGGGGCGAAAGCCGGACGGAGCAACGUCGCGUGAGUGAUGAAGGUCUGAGGAUCGUAAAACGAUGUUAUUAGGGAAGAAGAAAUGUGUAAGUAACUGUGCACAUAGUGACGGUACCUAAUCAGAAAGCCACGGCUAACUACGUG
This 497-nucleotide ribosomal RNA is filed under the name uncultured bacterium. RNAcentral describes it as "partial 16S ribosomal RNA". It matches the Rfam family "Bacterial small subunit ribosomal RNA", at positions 28 to 507 of the family's 1533-position model. The record is from RNAcentral.